Molecule: ribosomal RNA, 400 nt
Filed under: uncultured bacterium
Lineage: Bacteria
Description: bacterial SSU rRNA
Rfam family: Bacterial small subunit ribosomal RNA
Source: RNAcentral
GAAUAUUGGACAAUGGGGGAAACCCUGAUCCAGCCAUGCCGCGUGAGUGAAGAAGGCCUUAGGGUUGUAAAGCUCUUUCAGGGGGGACGAUGAUGACGGUACCACCAGAAGAAGCCCCGGCUAACUCCGUGCCAGCAGCCGCGGUAAUACGGAGGGGGCUAGCGUUGUUCGGAAUUACUGGGCGUAAAGCGCACGUAGGCGGCUUUUCAAGUCAGGUGUGAAAGCCCCGGGCUCAACCCGGGAACUGCACUUGAUACUGGAUGGCUAGAGUCCGGGAGAGGGUAGUGGAAUUCCCAGUGUAGAGGUGAAAUUCGUAGAUAUUGGGAAGAACACCAGUGGCGAAGGCGGCUACCUGGACCGGUACUGACGCUGAGGUGCGAAAGCGUGGGGAGCAAACAGG